This is an RNA transcript of Vicia villosa (hairy vetch), 2241 nucleotides long. RefSeq lists it as uncharacterized. Lineage: Eukaryota; Viridiplantae; Streptophyta; Magnoliopsida; Fabales; Fabaceae. The transcript is spliced from 8 exons. The record is from RefSeq and is a predicted model, not a curated record.
UUUUUUCAAUCAAUAAAUAUUUUUCUCUCUUUUCGUCACAAACCGGUUGGAAAUUGGAAUAGCCACCACCGGAGUUUUUCAUUCUCAUUCGUAUUCAAUCCCAAUGCGAUUUUCGGCCGUCGCAACAAAAAGCAACGUACCAGCGAUUCAGUUCCGUCGAACCACUAUCCCCGAUUGACAGCAUAGAAAUCUCACACAACAAUACUGAACAAUGCUGGGAUUUUCUUAUGGAGAAAUAUUUCUAUUGCUGGGAGCCACUGCUGCUCUGAUUGGUCCAAAGGAUUUGCCAAUCAUAUCCAGAACAGCUGGGAGGAUAGCCGGCCGGGCUGUUGCAUAUGUACAAUUGGCCCGAGGACAGGUUCAAUCUGUUAUGCAGCAAUCUCAAGCUAACCAGCUUCAUAAGGAACUUCACGGACUGAUGUCACAAGUAGAUGCUAUUAAACAUGAAGUUCGAAGUCUAUCAUUCAUAAAUCCUGGCCCUUUAACUCGGAGCCUUGAUAAUCGCGACCAGCCAUCUAUCUUAAAUGACCACAGGAAACCGGAAGGUGCUGGGGUGAAUCUCUCAAUAUCGUCUCUUACCAAGGAUUCGACUCCAUUGCCGUCCAAUUCAUUCAAUAUGCAAAGCCAAGCAACUACAUAUGCCAGGUUGGCCGAGGCUCCUUCCGUAAAGAAUGGUCCAUUGGCAAGUAGCGCUGAAGUUGAGAAGAUUAAAGAUGGUCUGCAGCUUAUUGUCUUGCCAGUUUCCGCUGAAAGUACUGGAUUCUUACCAAAUCGCAGGGGAGCUGAUGUGAAAGGUUCUGACAUAGUCCAAGAAGCAAUUUUGGAAGCAGAGGUAGCUCAUAAAGCAAAGGAGUUCUUUUCUCAGCCCGAGAAUCAGCCUGAAAAUCAAAGAUGAUCGAUAUAGUAAUCCUAUAUAAUACCUUAACUUUUUCAGAUGUUAGCAUUUGUAGAUUCACAAUGAUACAUAUUUAGUCUAUAUUUUAUCUUGAAGGUAUUGGUUGAUGCAUUGUCAUUUCUUUAAGUUUCUAGGUCUUGUUCCUCAGGGCAGAAAAUCUAAAGGAUUGUUUGUGCUUUAACAAUUUGAAGUUACUAGAUCUUCUAUUGAUGCCAUUUCUUAAUAACUUCCACCACCAUGCUUGACACCAUGGUUAUCAUUCAGAUUUUUUAAUGUAAAGAAAUAUUUUUCAAAUUGUGAAGUGAAUCUUAUUAUGAACCAUAAAGAUAUAUAAUCAAUAAAAAUGUGAUACUUUUUUAAAAUGAGAAACGGUGUUGCUCCAUGUCAUUUUUUAUCUUGACUGUAAAGUAUUUGCUUAUCAAUCCCUUUGCCUGUAUUGUGUCUGAUUAUUAAUGAAAUGUGCUGAUUUACUCGCUUAUCAGGAAAAAAUAGUACUAAGGAAAAAGCCCAAGUUGAUAGAAUGUUGAAUAAUUCAAAAUUUAAGUCAUAAAUCUAGAUGGAAAAGGUGGUUGCCUAGACAAUGUUUAUGGGCAAGUUGUAGUUCACCAGAGUUAACUAGGAUUCAUACAUUUAUUAUCCAAAAAAGAUAUGCAUAGUGAUUUAUAUUGAUUAUGUUUAAUUUUGUUUUGAAUUGAGAUACAUUUGCAUGUAUUUUAAUAUGUUCAUAACCAUGCUUGAUGCUAUUUGUCACGACUAAGCACUUUCCCUUUGUAUUACUAUAGUCAAAAUUGAUUACAACCAUUAAGGUGUAUACUUGUCCAAUCAACAAUACCUUAGAUUUACAUCACAAAAAAUAUGACUUAAACAAGUCUCAUUGUCUUCUCAAGGAUACAUGCUUCAGCUAAACUCUUUGAGGAAUUACAUCUUUGGAAUUAAAGUGUUUGAAUGCAUGCAAAAUAACUCUGAAAAGUGAGGUUGGUAGCAUGGUUAUGGACACGGCAUACUAUUGGUUUGUGAAUGCACUUGAAGCUAGGACUUGAUUACUUGAAGAAGCAGCAACAUGGUUAUGUAAAGAGGAAGUGAAAAGGAAAUGGAAGCUUUGAAGUGGAGCUGAGCUGGAACAGGUCUUAGGUAGUCAGAAAAGUCAAUGGUCAACAGUUAACCAAAGUCAACUGUUUCACAAAAGUGUGUUUUUUCAUGUACUUCAAAUUUUGUUAUGUAAAUUCCAUUUUUGCAAUGUAUCCUUGAAUUUGACCUUGACCUUUGUAUGUUUAACUUCUCUCUUGUUUCUUGUAGUUGAUGUAAUUAAUUUAAAUGAACAAUGAUAGUCUUGCUUCUUGAAUAAA